This is a small nucleolar RNA of Dendrobium catenatum, 106 nucleotides long. The record is from RefSeq and is a predicted model, not a curated record. Lineage: Eukaryota; Viridiplantae; Streptophyta; Magnoliopsida; Asparagales; Orchidaceae.
AAGGCAUAGUGAGAGUAUUUUUGAAGCAUCUCCUUGAAUCUCUCUAACUCUUAAAAAUUGAUUCUCCUUCUAACUAAGUAAAAGAAGUAAUAUCAUUUCUAAGUUU